RNAcentral lists this ribosomal RNA (253 nucleotides) under uncultured bacterium. RNAcentral describes it as "partial 16S ribosomal RNA". It matches the Rfam family "Bacterial small subunit ribosomal RNA", at positions 524 to 776 of the family's 1533-position model. The record is from RNAcentral.
UACGAGAGGCCCAAACAUUAUUCGGAAUUACUGGGCUUAAAGAGUUCGUAGGCGGCAUGGUAAGUAGGGUGUGAAAUCCCUCGGCUUAACCGGGGAACUGCGUCUGAUACUGGAUGGCUAGAGUUUGGGAGAGGGAUGCGGAAUUCCAGGUGUAGCGGUGAAAUGCGUAGAUAUCUGGAGGAACACCGGUGGCGAAGGCGGCAUCCUGGACCAACACUGACGCUGAGGAGCGAAAGCCAGGGGAGCAAACGGG